UCUAGAAUGCACCCCUCUUCCUCCCCGGGGCCUUCCACCUCCGCGAGUUUUAUGACUUAAAAAAGCCCACAGGCUGGUCUGAAGAGGAAGACAAACAUAAAGAUGAAGUGCUUAAUUCAAGGUCACACAAUGUCGGGGAUGGACCUCCAGAUUUCCUUACUGACCUGCAUUAUCUUGUGGAUACCUGAGUGAAUUCCACACCACCCAUUUUAUAGAUGAAACCACUGAGACAUGGAGCAAUUGACUGAGUAGUCACUGCCCCACCCCUGCCUGGAGCCUCACACAUGACUCGCCUCCUCUCAGUGACCACAGGUGAGACGUGGUCUUGUAACACAGUGGUUAAGAAUGUGACUUUGGAGCCAGCCUGCUAGGGGCUGAAUUCUGACUCAGCCAUUUACUAACUGUGUGACCUUAGUCUCACUGUUGCUCAGGCUGGAGUGCAAUGGCAUGAUCUCGGCUCAUCACAACCUCUGCUUCCUGGGUUCAAGCGAUUCUCCUGCCUCAGCCUCCCGAGUACCUGGGACUACAGGCACUCGCCACCAUGCCCGGCUGAUUUUUGUAUUUUUAAUAGAGAUGGUUUCACUAUGUUGGCCAGGCUGGUCUCGAACUCCUGACCUUGUGAUCUGCCCACCUCAGCCUCGAAAAGUGCUGGGAUUACAGGCGUGAGCCACUGCGCCCAGCCUUGUAUUUUUUUUCAGUUUGGGUAGCUGUCCCUAAUUCAUUUGUUAAAGGAGAAGCAAGAGCAAGAACCUUUAAUCUGUUCUCCUCUUCCCUAAUUUGAAAGUAGCUUGUUAUUUUGAAUAUCACUUUCUCUGAAAUAGCACAUCUCCAUCUCAGAGAAUGGAUUUAAUGUUUGGAUACAGCCAAAAGUCAUUUCAUUACCAAACCAUGGGGUGAAUAUACCAUGUAAAGCAGUUUGGGAUCAGAACUCACAGUCUGAAUUGUAAGUGAUGAGACUGCUGUCUCUCUGCUACAGCUUCUUGGCUGGCUCUGAAGGCUCUUUGAAGGCAGAUCCUAACAAGGGGACUGCUUUGAAGGGCCAUUGUUCAUUUGGAAUGAUAAAGUCUAUGUUGUUCAAAAAACAAAUGCUUGUAGCAGGUAUUUUUUCACUCCAGACUGAGAAUAUUGGUGGGAUAUUGAUAAGGGGUACUGAAUGGUAAUAAACAUGUGCUCUAGCUCUGUGCUAGUCAGCUUAUUUCAGAACUCUAGUUUGAUUCAGUUUCUUGCCUCUGACUCAAAAUGGAGGGAGAGUGAUUUUUACAUAAGAGAACACACCCACAUAUCCUUUUGGCAGCAGCUACCUGCCAGAGAUGUUGAAGAAGAGUAGCCAACCUUUACACAGCAGAUAUUGUGUGCCAGUCAUAGUCCUAAGUAUAAUACCUUACAUGUAUAAACUUCUUAUAAGGUUGGUGCUCUGUACCGAAUUGAAUAGUAUCCCCCAAAAUUCAUGUUGUCCCAGAACCUAUGAAAGUGAUCUUACUU
RNAcentral lists this long non-coding RNA (1482 nucleotides) under Homo sapiens (human). Its description in RNAcentral is "PCBP1 antisense RNA 1". Lineage: Eukaryota; Metazoa; Chordata; Mammalia; Primates; Hominidae. The record is from RNAcentral.